CUUUGUGAACGAGAAGAAAGAAGGACAGGGCAAAGAAGAAGACGAAGUUUCAUUCUUUAUGACUGUUAGUGAUGGCAGAAUAAACGGAACAUUACAAAGGUUUAGUUUUACGUUGAAGCACCUGGGACGGUGUUCCAAGAAUACGCGUGGGCGACAUGUUGGCGGCGCGACGAAACACUUUUACAAUACCAGUCAGCCAAUAAUAACGUACUACACUACUGGAGGUAAGGACAUGUGCAAGGACGACAUCAAGAUCAACAUAACUAAUCAAGAUAUUUACUUGCUCAGAGGUUUCAAGUCGUGGUGGAUGCCUCCCACUCUUCUAUACGGCCUUUUUUGCGGUAAUACCAGCUACAAACCGUCCACCUGUAACUCCAUGAAACUAACUUCUACCAAUGAUACAAGUUUCCCACCUCGGAAUGGGACUCGUUGGAAUAGCCAAGAAACUUUAUUUUUUGCAACAAAUGACUUCGUCUGUGGCGUGUUUCGAGUCGAUUUGUUCAGCAAUGGAGGCCGAACUGGUAUUUAUGAAGUCCGUGUGAGAAACGCAUACAAGAUGGAUGAAAUAGCGCAACAAUGCUUGAAUUACACAAGUGUACAUUUCAGUGGAGAGAAUUUUACUGACUGUAAGAAAUUUAAAUAACAUUUCAUAAAACAACCUCCGCAUGCCAUACGAAUUUGUAAUUGAAUAAAUUGCAAUCAGUGUCU
Molecule: RNA transcript, 708 nt
Organism: Dermacentor silvarum
Lineage: Eukaryota; Metazoa; Arthropoda; Arachnida; Ixodida; Ixodidae
Exons: 5
Source: RefSeq, a predicted model, not a curated record